This 404-nucleotide ribosomal RNA is filed under the name Actinomycetes bacterium. Its description in RNAcentral is "Actinobacteria bacterium partial 16S ribosomal RNA". It matches the Rfam family "Bacterial small subunit ribosomal RNA", at positions 355 to 776 of the family's 1533-position model. The record is from RNAcentral. RNAcentral also lists the same sequence under 1 other name. Lineage: Bacteria; Bacillati; Actinomycetota; Actinomycetes.
UGGGGAAUAUUGGACAAUGGGCGCAAGCCUGAUCCAGCCAUGCCGCGUGAGUGAUGAAGGCCCUAGGGUUGUAAAGCUCUUUCACCGGUGAAGAUAAUGACGGUAACCGGAGAAGAAGCCCCGGCUAACUUCGUGCCAGCAGCCGCGGUAAUACGAAGGGGGCUAGCGUUGUUCGGAUUUACUGGGCGUAAAGCGCACGUAGGCGGACUAUUAAGUCAGGGGUGAAAUCCCGGGGCUCAACCCCGGAACUGCCUUUGAUACUGGUAGUCUUGAGUUCGAGAGAGGUGAGUGGAAUUCCGAGUGUAGAGGUGAAAUUCGUAGAUAUUCGGAGGAACACCAGUGGCGAAGGCGGCUCACUGGCUCGAUACUGACGCUGAGGUGCGAAAGCGUGUGGAGCAAACAGG